GCGUACGAUGUCGACUUGGAGGUUGUGCCCUUGAGGCGUGGCUUCCGGAGCUAACGCGUUAAGUCGACCGCCUGGGGAGUACGGCCGCAAGGUUAAAACUCAAAUGAAUUGACGGGGGCCCGCACAAGCGGUGGAGCAUGUGGUUUAAUUCGAUGCAACGCGAAGAACCUUACCUACUCUUGACAUCCAGAGAACUUUCCAGAGAUGGUUUGGUGCCUUCGGGAACUCUGAGACAGGUGCUGCAUGGCUGUCGUCAGCUCGUGUUGUGAAAUGUUGGGUUAAGUCCCGCAACGAGCGCAACCCUUAUCCUUUGUUGCCAGCGGUUAGGCCGGGAACUCAAAGGAGACUGCCAGUGAUAAACUGGAGGAAGGUGGGGAUGACGUCAAGUCAUCAUGGCCCUUACGAGUAGGGCUACACACGUGCUACAAUGGCGCAUACAAAGAGAAGCGACCUCGCGAGAGCAAGCGGACCUCAUAAAGUGCGUCGUAGUCCGGAUUGGAGUCUGCAACUCGACUCCAUGAAGUCGGAAUCGCUAGUAAUCGUGGAUCAGAAUGCCACGGUGAAUACGUUCCCGGGCCUUGUACACACCGCCCGUCACACCAUGGGAGUGGGUUGCAAAAGAAGUAGGUAGCUUAACCUUCGGGAGGGCGCUUACCACUUUGUGAUUCAUGACUGGGGUGAAGUCGUACAAGGGGAAACCGGAAGAGUUUGAUCCUGG
This 718-nucleotide ribosomal RNA is filed under the name Enterobacter sp. RNAcentral's name for it is "bacterial SSU rRNA". It matches the Rfam family "Bacterial small subunit ribosomal RNA", at positions 801 to 1533 of the family's 1533-position model. The record is from RNAcentral. Lineage: Bacteria; Pseudomonadati; Pseudomonadota; Gammaproteobacteria; Enterobacterales; Enterobacteriaceae.